CCUACGGGUGGCAGCAGUGAGGAAUAUUGGUCAAUGGGCGGAAGCCUGAACCAGCCAAGUCGCGUGAGGGAGUAAGGCCCUACGGGUCGUAAACCUCUUUUGCCGGGGAGCAGUGCCCAGCUCGUGAGCUGGGAGGGAGCGUACCCGGAGAAAAAGCAUCGGCUAACUCCGUGCCAGCAGCCGCGGUAAUACGUAGGGGGCAAGCGUUAUCCGGAUUUACUGGGUGUAAAGGGAGCGCAGGCGGCGCGGUAAGUCUGAUGUGAAAGCCCGGGGCUCAACCCCGGGACUGCAUUGGAAACGGUCGUGCUGGAGUGUCGGAGGGGCAAGUGGAAUUCCUAGUGUAGCGGUGAAAUGCGUAGAUAUUAGGAGGAACACCAGUGGCGAAGGCGGCUUGCUGGACGACAACUGACGCUGAGGCUCGAAAGCGUGGGGAGCAAACAGGAUUAGAUACCCCUGUAGUC
RNAcentral lists this ribosomal RNA (461 nucleotides) under uncultured bacterium. RNAcentral's name for it is "partial 16S ribosomal RNA". It matches the Rfam family "Bacterial small subunit ribosomal RNA", at positions 338 to 795 of the family's 1533-position model. The record is from RNAcentral.